UGCCAGCCGCCGCGGUAAGACAGAGGGUGCGAACGUUGCUCGGAAUUACUGGGCGUAAAGCGCGUGUAGGCGGACUAGCAAGUCGGGUGUGAAAUCCCCGGGCUCAACCCGGGAACUGCAUCCGAAACUGCUGGUCUGGAGUGCUGGAGAGGGAAGCGGAAUUCCUGGUGUAGAGGUGAAAUUCGUAGAUAUCAGGAGGAACACCGGUGGCGAAGGCGGCUUCCUGGACAGUUACUGACGCUGAGACGCGAAAGCGUGGGGAGCAAACAGGAUUAGAUA
This 279-nucleotide ribosomal RNA is filed under the name uncultured bacterium. Its description in RNAcentral is "partial 16S ribosomal RNA". It matches the Rfam family "Bacterial small subunit ribosomal RNA", at positions 506 to 784 of the family's 1533-position model. The record is from RNAcentral.